Molecule: RNase P RNA, 369 nt
Filed under: pig gut metagenome
Description: Bacterial RNase P class B
Rfam family: Bacterial RNase P class B
About the family: Ribonuclease P (RNase P) is a ubiquitous endoribonuclease, found in archaea, bacteria and eukarya as well as chloroplasts and mitochondria. Its best characterised activity is the generation of mature 5'-ends of tRNAs by cleaving the 5'-leader elements of precursor-tRNAs.
Source: RNAcentral
UAUGGAUAAUUGCGCAUCCAUUUUGAUGGGUGUGAGUAAAGUCCAUGCUCACACAGGCUGAGAUUGCCUGUAGUGUUCGUGCAUACUGAAAUAAUAAGGUAUGGUCCUUUUAAUUAAGGAACGGCAGUUAAAUGAGCUAAGGCUUCGGCUAAGUUCUAGUAGACUUGAAAGUGCCACAGUGACGAAACAUCAUUGGAAACAAUGAUGGUGGAACGGGUAAACCCCAUGAGUGAGCAACCCAAACUAAGGUAGGGGCACUUUCUCCGCAGAAUUCAAUGCAGGAGAGAGGUUGUUGGUUUUCCAAUGACAGACAGAUAAUUAUCUCUGGAAGAUGGCCUAUCAUCUUCCUAGACAGAACAUGGCUUACAG